UCCGGUUUAUCACCGACCACAAGGGGGGCCACAUCUCUGCAGCUUUCCGGUAUAUGUCAAACCCAGGUAAGGUUCUUCGCGUUGCAUCGAAUUAAUCCACAUGCUCCGCCGCUUGUGCGGGCCCCCGUCAAUUCCUUUGAGUUUUAGCCUUGCGGCCGUACUCCCCAGGCGGGGCGCUUAAUGCGUUAGCUACGGCACGGAUUCCGUGGAAGGAACCCACACCUAGCGCCCACCGUUUACGGCGUGGACUAC
Molecule: unclassified non-coding RNA, 252 nt
Filed under: uncultured Nocardiaceae bacterium
Lineage: Bacteria; Bacillati; Actinomycetota; Actinomycetes; Mycobacteriales; Nocardiaceae
Description: contains 16S-23S intergenic spacer region
Source: RNAcentral